AACCGGGCCGCGCCCAGCAAUGCAAGUCGUGCGAGAAAGGGCUUCGGCCCCAGUAAAGCGGCGCACGGGUGAGUAACACGUAGGUAAUCUGCCCUCGAGUGGUGGACAACCCUCCGAAAGGAGGGCUAAUACAACGUAAGACCACGAGUCCACGGACUCGCGGCCAAAGCGGGCCUCUGCAUGCAAGCUCGCGCUUGAGGAUGAGCCUGCGGCCCAUCAGCUAGUUGGUAGGGUAACGGCCUACCAAGGCAGAGACGGGUAGCUGGUCUGAGAGGAUGAACAGCCACACUGGAACUGAGACACGGUCCAGACUCCUACGGGAGGCAGCAGUGGGGAAUCUUGCGCAAUGGGCGAAAGCCUGACGCAGCGACGCCGCGUGAGCGAUGAAGGCCUUCGGGUUGUAAAGCUCUGUGGGGAGGAAAGAAUAAGGGCGAGCUAAUACCUCGUCCGAUGACGGUACCUCCUUAGCAAGCACCGGCUAACUCUGUGCCAGCAGCCGCGGUAAGACAGAGGGUGCAAACGUUGUUCGGAAUUACUGGGCGUAAAGCGCGUGUAGGCGGCCACGCCAGUCGGAUGUGAAAGCCCUCGGCUCAACCGAGGAAGUGCAUCCGAUACUACGUGGCUAGAGUCCUGGAGAGGAAGGUGGAAUGCUCGGUGUAGAGGUGAAAUUCGUAGAUAUCGAGCGGAACACCUGUGGCGAAGGCGGCCUUCUGGACAGUGACUGACGCUGAGACGCGAAAGCGUGGGGAGCAAACACGAUUAGAUACCCUGGUAGUCCACGCUGUAACGAUGAGUGCUAGUGUCACGGGCUUUGACCCUUGGUGGGUGCCGAAGGCUAACGGCGUUAAGCCACCUCCCGG
Molecule: ribosomal RNA, 860 nt
Filed under: uncultured bacterium
Lineage: Bacteria
Description: bacterial SSU rRNA
Rfam family: Bacterial small subunit ribosomal RNA
Source: RNAcentral